CUUUUUCUUUUUCUUUUUUUUUUUUUUUUUUGACUAAGAUAAAGGAGAGAAAAAACAGAACAAGUCAUUGCUGCAUAAACUUCGGUCUCCAUAGCAACAAUGAAAAAUGUUUCCCUUCAAUUCCAAUCCUAUAGUCUCACCUGGGGUUCGGGAGAGUGGCAAGAGAUUAAAGUAUUUUCUAACUUACUUGUUCAUUGCAAUUUUGAAAGCAGGCUACUGGGGUGAGUAGCAUAGGCCAAAUUAGACCCAAAAGCUUUCCUGAGAUCUGGGGUGUGAGGUAGGGGCUUGGGAAGGGCAGGUAGGAAGUACUGGAUUUACCACUGUAGGACUUGUAUGCAGUAAAUCACACUGUAACAGAAAGUGCCUAAGGCAAAGAAAGCAAUGGAGAAAGGAAAAUGUUAACAACUAAGCAGUAUUCCUCUGAACGUUCCACCACUCUGGGAUCAGGAAGGCAACACUGUACUAAAUCCCUAGGAAACAUGGGGCUGCAUUACUAUAUUUCCACCAAAAUCAUUGUCCCAGGUUACUGCCAUGAACGUAGCACAGCUAUGCAGAGUGAACAAGGCACGCAGGCAAUGCUGCACUCCUGAGCACAGGAGAGCUGACAGACAUCCAUGACUGCUCUCUCCUGCUGUUCAUAAACUGAAUUUUCUGGGACAAAAUGGGAAUUUUGAGCCUGAGGAAGACUGGACUCCACAGCCUGAGUCAGUGUCUGGCACCAAGACCUUGGCUGUGGCUUUGGAGUUUUGUGUGAUGGAUCAGCACUCAGCAGUGGCUCUCCAGAGGAAAGUACCUUAAAGUAACAAGAGAUGCUUGGAAGACUUAUGUUUUAGUAAAACCAGCUCUUCCUAAACCCUUUCCUCCCUGGCUGCCAAUCUCCUGGGCAGGGGCUGCCCGUAAGCAGCAGGCAGGGGCUGCAGAUGUGCAGCUGUGUGUGUGCCACACUCCUGUCCACACCACAGCAACGUGUCUGUCACACAUCAUUAGGUACCUGAGUUGUUUGUGGAGAAGGUGUUGAUUUCCCCUCUUGGAGUCCGAGCUAAGCUCCCCCAUGUGAAAUCAGCAACCAACAGCAUGACUGGGGCUGUGCUGGCCAGUCUCUCUGAUGACCAGUGAGAGGACCUAAAGGACUGGCAAGAAAUUGUGCCAGGGAGAUUUAGGCUGGGUAUUAGAAAAAGGUUCUUCACCCAGAGGGUGGCUGGGCAUUGGAUCACAGCACCAAGCCUGACAGAGUUCAAGCAGCAUUUGGACAACACUCUUGGGCACAUGGUGUGAUUUUUGGGGCCUGUAAGGGGCCAGGAGCUGGACUUGAUGAUCCUUGUGAGUCACUUCCAACUGAGGUGAUUCUGUGACUAGAAGGACAAAAGCAGGCUGAAAUACAGAUGCAUCUAAAGAAACCUUAUAACAUAUAAAAAUGCCCUUAAUUUAUUUUCCAAGGUCAUAUUUUAAUUUGGAAUAGCUGAACUGGAGAAAAAAACAAAGAGUAGUUCAGUUUCAUCAUUUGUAAAGAAAAGUCACAAAUGAGUUUUCCUUCUUACUGCAUGUGGAGGUACAUUCUGGGAGCACCAUACAAUACCAUCUCAAGCUGAUACUUAGGACAGGUCCAUUUUCCCACUACCCAGUAGUAUGUGCUCACAUUCAAAAUUGAAUAGGAUGGAGUUCUCAAAUCAGUUUUAACUGAGUAUUUGAUUAACUAGAGAUUUUUUUCAGCUUUGAAAAGUUCUUUUCAUUUACUGGAUUAUAAUCAAAGGUGACUUUACUGAUAACAGCAUGAUAUCUUUAAUAUGUACUCAAGUAGUCUGCUCUGGCAGACUUUCUGUGCUACAGAUCCUGUACAUUACCACAGUAAAGCAAAGUGAAAUCCUGCCUUUGACACAACUCCAACAGGGAAUUUUCAUCUUAGAUUCCUCUGUAUGUUUUAUUGGUUUUGCUGUUUAUCUCACAGGAUAAACACGUAUCAGUGUUUCAGAUUCUGUAAUUGUGUUUUCUCCAGUCAAAACCAGAAAUAGGAAUCUUCCGGGAGAAAACUGACAAAUGUGAUCAUUUGUUUAACACAAAUUUUACUUCAACCCUCAAGGAAUGCAACUGGCAUAAACCAGAAGGCUCAUCAGUGACAGAAGUUCUGUUGCAAGUGGUGGUCUUUCAACAAAGUACUUAUUAGGGCCUUUACAGUGGUAAUAAGCACUCAUAAAAGUUGAUAAACACUCAAUAACUAAAUUACAUUAAAAAAGGAUUUUUCCUUGUUUGUACUUCAAGUACUAGCUUUGAAAUGGUUACAGAGAUUAAACACUGAACUCUCCAGACACACAUAUCAGUUGUGCAGGAUCAUACAUCCUGUAAAUGAGGUUGUUGAGACACCUGCUAUUUCCUCAAAACACACUGCUGCAAGUAGCAAAACUGUUUAGUUCUUAUGCAUUGAAUUUAUGCACUCAGCGCUCUCAGCUUCAAUGAACAAAUACUUUGUAUAUACAUAUGGAAAGGUUGUAUCAAAAUAAAAUUCGGGUCUGGCAUGUACCCUACCUGGUAAACAGAGCACUGGAAAAGCUGGAAGGACUCAGCAUUGUCAAGGCUGUUCCAGAGCAGUGGCCACUGAAACUGCUGAAAAUGUUUCUACCAAAGCCAGUAGUUUUGCAGCAGAUGCAUAACCUCUGUGAACAAGAACAGAUCAUUUACAAGUGCAAAUGUUAUCACUUCUAACACCUUUUAUUUUGCAUCAGUCUUUGCAGCCAGCUUCCUGAUGUGGCUCCAUGGGAAAGACUCCCCCGUAUCCCAUUGUCUUAGGCUACAAUGCAAGAUGUAGCCAAAAGGAUGCAUUCUAUUACCAUCUUCAUAAGCUGUUAAAAUAGGUGGGGCCGUGUUUUUUAUCUUUCCCAUUACUCAUCCCUGAUAACUCCCUCUGGGGGGCUAUCUCUGCUAAUGGGACAUCAAGGUCUCCCAGCACAACUCGUAAUAUUACAUCAUCCCACUGCGAGAUGCCACGCCUAGGGGAGGAACCAAGCAUCCCUACCUGGAUACAACAUGAGUUUGGGAACACCACAGGGGCACUACCACUGGAUUCCCAGAGAACAAGAGUUCAAUACUCACUACUAGACCUUGAAAGACCAGAUUGUUUCACAGGAUCACUGUUUUGACAAAACCACAUCCAUCACUCCAACAGGACUGUAGCUAUCAUUUGACUGUUACCACCACCCUGACCGACAGGCUGUCAGGUCAUAUUUUGACUGUCAGUUUAAGCCAGCGUUUCUGUACUAUUGCCUUAAUUUUAUUUUUCCUAUUAAAUUGUAGUUCUGCCUUGGAAUCUCCCACUGGUUUGUUUUUAAACUUGUACAACCACUGCUCACUGUGAGGCAGGCACACCAAGCCUGGCCCAGCACCAGGACAGCAGUAGGAGAGGGGUCAGGCAGUCCUGUUUAUCCAACAAGCCCAGCAACUCCUGUCCUGCUGCACCUAUACCCUCUUGCAGCUACACUAUCUGACAGGAGGGAGUUACCUUGAAACUCUUUCCAAGAGGUCUGAAAAUCAACAGUUAAGCAGGAUAGCACACAGAGACUUAUUUUGCCCUAGAAUGUGAGCUGGUUUUCACAGUGAUUCAGCUUUCAUGCUGCAUAUCAAAGGUACACAGAUCCUCCAUGGUCCCACUUGGGUAAAUCAGUCUGCUGGAAGAUUCAGCCUUCCCUCUGCUACUAGAUUAGCCACAGAAAGUAGAAGACAAAAUAGAUUAUGACAGGCAUGGAAAGGCAUGUUUCCUUCAUUAAUUGCCCAGUAUUUUUACCUAAAGGCCAAUGAAAAUUUAGCCACUGACUCAUUCAUGUAUUGUCAGUGUCUCACAAAUAUGCAUUCAAGAAGAAGAAACAGAAUGUCCACUAAUAAUUCAAAAAUAGCUAAGGAAUAAAACUUCUUCAUAAAUCCUACCUUCAAGAUGUUAAAUUAUUAAUUUACUUUUAAGGAAUAAAUAUGUCCUAAUAGCUCUUGCCAGGCAGUCAGUCAAAAACAGCAGAAACCCACAUCACAGGCACAACCAAAACACUUCAAGAAGGACGUUUCAUUUGUUCUUUUUAAGAUAUAUAACUUUGCAUAUCAAAACUGGUCAUUUUUAAUUACAGAGAUUUCUGAAAAUUCUUUACUUGGUGAUAAGACUCCAGCUUGUGCCUUUUCCAGCUACUUAAAAAUUCAGCUCCCUCCAACUCACUGUUUACCUCAAGUGUCAUUAACCACAUUUGUAAAUCAAAGAAUUUUAUUAAUGCAUGACAGUGUUGGCAUCACGAAGCUUCUGUGGGGUCCCACCACUCACAUAAGCCCUGCUCAGACCAGAGUACACCUUACUAUUAGCACUGCCUGUCUUAAAGCCAGCAAUCUUAAAAGAAGCUUCAUUCCUGUAACAGAAUUUUGGCUUUUGUAAGAGUUGUUUAAAACAAGAGUAUAAAUAUUGUACCAAAUACAAUCGACUGUUGGGAAUGAAAGAAAAAUAUUGUUGGAUUUAUUAUACAAGGAUGUAUUAUUGUGGAUGUAACGAAAAAACCUCCAACUCCCUUUAGAUCUCAUUACAAGCUGAACUUUUUCACACCAUAUAGCAAUUUUUCAUCAUUAAUUAAUUUAGCAUCUAAAAAUCUAGGUGCAUACAUGAGCAGACAGAUGCAAAACAAGUAUUUUAACUAGCUUCAUUGAACUAAUGAAUUCCAUUGCUAAAAGUAACGGUGCUUUAAAUUGCAGUAUUGAAAUAAAUUGAAGCAACUUGGAUAUUGACUGGAAAGCAGGCACAGGUCUACUAACAAUCAAGGCCUGGAAACAAACUCUGUUGUCAACACCCAAAAGCUACUUUUGGUAUGAAAACCAAAUAGAUUUAAUGAUGGAAUUACUGAUUACUCUACAUCUGAUGGAAGUGAAACAGAAUAAAUCUUUAUGCCCUAAACUCCAGAGCUGGAUUAGAUUUUUGCAGCUUUUAAACUGUAAAAUGAAAAAGACUUUAGGAAUGUGCAAAUGGCAGUAUCAGAGACAGUUUUCAAGCUUCCUGUAUGCACAAGCCAUUUGCUUCCUACUUUGAUGCUGGGGUAUCCAAGUUAUGGAGCAGGCCAGGAAAGAGCUGCCAUUCUCUUCCACCAUGCCUGUGAAGUACCAGAAUCAGGAGCUGUGAACAGCCCUGCAGCCAUCUCUGCCCUUCCACCCUGCUUGCACUGGGUGCCUGAGGCUACACCCCGUUCCUACUGCACACACAACAAAGGCAGUGGGUGCCAGAGGAAGACACAGCAAAGCAACCACACAUUCCUCACACAGCAAUCCUGCAAGUGAACUUUUAAUAAAAGUGAGCAACCUGCAGCCUACAAUCCCAUCAAAGCACAGGAGAAAGAAAGAGGCUGCUCCCCAAAUUGCUCCCCACUCCGUUAGGAUCCUGGAGUGCAGCUUUGGCAAACAGCAUGUUGUUACAAACUGAGACAGAUGGAAAUGUGCUUCCUUGUCAAAGCUGCUAUUCCCCAAGAGUAAAGAUUUUGUUGUCUUAAAUAUGCUGUAAGAGAUAGAGAAAGGUCCAGAAAUAUAACAAAACUAAUAAUAUAAAACUAGGUUUAUCUGUUUUUCUUAACAGAUAA
This is a long non-coding RNA of Taeniopygia guttata (zebra finch), 5582 nucleotides long. The record is from Ensembl. Lineage: Eukaryota; Metazoa; Chordata; Aves; Passeriformes; Estrildidae.